CGCGGGGUAGAGCAGAUGGCCAGCUCGUGAGGUUCAUUCCCUCAAGGUCGCGGGUUCGAGUCCCGCCCCCGCUACAA
This 77-nucleotide transfer RNA is filed under the name Bacteroides stercoris. RNAcentral's name for it is "tRNA-Met". It matches the Rfam family "tRNA". Rfam says of the family: Transfer RNA (tRNA) molecules are approximately 80 nucleotides in length. Their secondary structure includes four short double-helical elements and three loops (D, anti-codon, and T loops). Further hydrogen bonds mediate the characteristic L-shaped molecular structure. tRNAs have two regions of fundamental functional importance: the anti-codon, which is responsible for specific mRNA codon recognition, and the 3' end, to which the tRNAs corresponding amino acid is attached (by aminoacyl-tRNA synthetases). tRNAs cope with the degeneracy of the genetic code in two manners: having more than one tRNA (with a specific anti-codon) for a particular amino acid; and 'wobble' base-pairing, i.e. permitting non-standard base-pairing at the 3rd anti-codon position. The record is from RNAcentral. RNAcentral also lists the same sequence under 1 other name. Lineage: Bacteria; Pseudomonadati; Bacteroidota; Bacteroidia; Bacteroidales; Bacteroidaceae.